UAUCGGAAAGCUUUGGCCGGAAGAUACGUUAUCUAGUGGCGGACGGGUGAGUAACACGUGGGUAACCUGCCUUAUGGAGGGGGAUAACAGAGAGAAAUCACUGCUAAUACCGCAUAAGCACACAGUACCGCAUGGUACAGGGUGAAAAGAUUUAUCGCCAUAAGACGGACCCGCGUCUGAUUAGCCAGUUGGCAGGGUAAAAGCCUACCAAAGCAACGAUCAGUAGCCGAUCUGAGAGGAUGACCGGCCACAUUGGGACUGAGACACGGCCCAAACUCCUACGGGAGGCAGCAGUGGGGAAUAUUGCACAAUGGGGGAAACCCUGAUGCAGCGACGCCGCGUGAGUGAAGAAGUAUUUCGGUAUGUAAAGCUCUAUCAGCAGGGAAGAUAAUGACAGUACCUGACUAAGAAGCCCCGGCUAACUACGUGCCAGCAGCCGCGGUAAUACGUAGGGGGCAAGCGUUAUCCGGAUUUACUGGGUGUAAAGGGAGCGUAGACGGAAUGGCAAGUCUGAAGUGAAAUACCCGGGCUCAACCUGGGAACUGCUUUGGAAACUGUUGUUCUAGAGUGUUGGAGAGGUAAGUGGAAUUCCUGGUGUAGCGGUGAAAUGCGUAGAUAUCAGGAAGAACACCGGAGGCGAAGGCGGCUUACUGGACAAUAACUGACGUUGACGGCUCGAAAGCGUGGGGAUCAAACAGGAUUAGAUANCCUGGUAGUCCACGCUGUAAACGAUGAAUACUAGGUGUCGGGGUGCAAAGCAUCUCGGUGCCGUCGC
RNAcentral lists this ribosomal RNA (775 nucleotides) under uncultured Johnsonella sp. RNAcentral's name for it is "bacterial SSU rRNA". It matches the Rfam family "Bacterial small subunit ribosomal RNA", at positions 64 to 852 of the family's 1533-position model. Lineage: Bacteria; Bacillati; Bacillota; Clostridia; Lachnospirales; Lachnospiraceae. The record is from RNAcentral.